RNAcentral lists this ribosomal RNA (360 nucleotides) under uncultured bacterium. Its description in RNAcentral is "bacterial SSU rRNA". It matches the Rfam family "Bacterial small subunit ribosomal RNA", at positions 8 to 350 of the family's 1533-position model. The record is from RNAcentral.
AGAGUUUGAUCAUGGCUCAGGAUGAACGCUGGCGGCGUGCCUAACACAUGCAAGUCGAACGGAGUUAUUUUGGAAAUCUCUUCGGAGAUGGAAUCUUUAACUUAGUGGCGGACGGGUGAGUAACGCGUGAGCAAUCUGCCUUUAAGAGGGGGAUAACAGUCGGAAACGGCUGCUAAUACCGCAUAAAGCAUCAAAUUCGCAUGUUUUGAUGCCAAAGGAGCAAUCCGCUUUUAGAUGAGCUCGCGUCUGAUUAGCUAGUUGGCGGGGUAACGGCCACCAAGGCGACGAUCAGUAGCCGGACUGAGAGGUUGAACGGCCACAUUGGGACUGAGACACGGCCCAGACUCCGUACGGGAGGCA